UACGUAGGAGACGAGCGUUGUCCGGAAUCACUGGGCGUAAAGCGCGUGUAGGCGGAUGGGCAAGUCUGCUGUGAAAGGCUCUGGCUUAACCGGAGCAGGUCGGUGGAAACUGCCAAUCUGGAGGACGGUAGAGGUGGGUGGAAUUCCCGGUGUAGUGGUGAAAUGCGUAGAGAUCGGGAGGAACACCUGUGGCGAAGGCGGCCCACUGGGCCGGACCUGACGCUGAGACGCGAAGGCGUGGGGAGCGAACGGG
RNAcentral lists this ribosomal RNA (253 nucleotides) under uncultured bacterium. Its description in RNAcentral is "partial 16S ribosomal RNA". It matches the Rfam family "Bacterial small subunit ribosomal RNA", at positions 524 to 776 of the family's 1533-position model. The record is from RNAcentral.